AAGUGUAUAAUCCUACACAGACAAACUUUCUUAGCACAACAUCACACAUUGCUUGCACCUCCCAAUGACUCUCUUGAAGUAAAACAGUUAAUAUUUGCCUCAUUGGUUCUUUAUUCAUCAUUUCUCUCCCAUCAGGGAGUAUCCAUUUUCCCUCAGACUUUGUGGCUCCUGAUUCCUUAAAAAAAACCCUUUCUCUUAAAACUUUUUAGUUCUUUCUUAGUUUUCAACAAUUCCCUUAAUCCUCUCUGGAUUUAUUCUUUGUUUUCCCUCAGACAUUAGAUGCCUUACAUACUUGACUUUUUUUCUACAUAUUGUAAUUUAUUUUUCAAUACACCCAAGCCCUGUUUUCCCAGAAAGUUGAAUAGCUUGUUAGUAGCUUCCUUCACAACUGUUUUCUCCUGUCCUGACAAUAAAAGAUCAUCCACAUAUUUGUAACAGUAAUACCUCCUCAGGAGGUUUAAAUUGCUCCAAAAUCUGUUCUAGACCUUGC
Oxyura jamaicensis (ruddy duck) is the source of this 490-nucleotide long non-coding RNA. RefSeq lists it as uncharacterized. The record is from RefSeq and is a predicted model, not a curated record. The transcript is spliced from 3 exons. NCBI's taxonomy places the organism in Eukaryota, Metazoa, Chordata, Aves, Anseriformes, Anatidae.